CCUACGGGUGGCAGCAGUGGGGAAUAUUGCACAAUGGGGGAAACCCUGAUGCAGCGACGCCGCGUGAGCGAUGAAGUAUUUCGGUAUGUAAAGCUCUAUCAGCAGGGAAGAAAAUGACGGUACCUGACUAAGAAGCCCCGGCUAACUCCGUGCCAGCAGCCGCGGUAACACGUAGGGGGCAAGCGUUAUCCGGAUUUACUGGGUGUAAAGGGAGCGUAGGCGGUCUUGCAAGCCAGAUGGGAUAGCCCGGGGCUCAACCCCGGGACUGCAGUUGGAACUGUAAGGCUAGAGUGUCGGAGAGGCAGGCGGAAGUCGUGGUGUAGCGGGGAAAUGCGUAGAUAUUAGGAGGAACACCCGUGGCGAAGGCGGCCUGCUGGACGAUGACUGACGAUGAGGCUCGAAAGCGUGGGGAGCAAACAGGAUUAGAUACCCGGGUAGUC
RNAcentral lists this ribosomal RNA (440 nucleotides) under uncultured bacterium. Its description in RNAcentral is "partial 16S ribosomal RNA". It matches the Rfam family "Bacterial small subunit ribosomal RNA", at positions 338 to 795 of the family's 1533-position model. The record is from RNAcentral.